Molecule: ribosomal RNA, 274 nt
Filed under: uncultured bacterium
Lineage: Bacteria
Description: partial 16S ribosomal RNA
Rfam family: Bacterial small subunit ribosomal RNA
Source: RNAcentral
AUACGGAGGGUGCAAGCGUUACUCGGAAUCACUGGGCGUAAAGCGCGCGCAGGCGGUCUUUUAAGUUGGAUGUGAAAGCCUACGGCUCAACCGUAGAACUGCAUCCAAAACUAUUAGACUAGAGUGUGGGAGAGGAAGAUGGAAUUAGUUGUGUAGGGGUAAAAUCCGUAGAGAUAAAUAGGAAUACCAAAAGCGAAGGCAAUCUUCUGGAACACUACUGACGCUGAGGCGCGAAAGCGUGGGGAGCAAACAGGAUUAGAAACCCUUGUAGUCC